RNAcentral lists this ribosomal RNA (497 nucleotides) under uncultured bacterium. RNAcentral's name for it is "partial 16S ribosomal RNA". It matches the Rfam family "Bacterial small subunit ribosomal RNA", at positions 28 to 507 of the family's 1533-position model. The record is from RNAcentral.
GAUGAACGCUGGCGGCGUGCCUAAUACAUGCAAGUCGAGCGAACGGACGAGAAGCUUGCUUCUCUGAUGUUAGCGGCGGACGGGUGAGUAACACGUGGAUAACCCACCUAUAAGACUGGGAUAACUUCGGGAAACCGGAGCUAAUACCGGAUAAUAUUUUGAACCGCAUGGUUCAAAAGUGAAAGACGGUCUUGCUGUCACUUAUAGAUGGAUCCGCGCUGCAUUAGCUAGUUGGUAAGGUAACGGCUUACCAAGGCAACGAUGCAUAGCCGACCUGAGAGGGUGAUCGGCCACACUGGAACUGAGACACGGUCCAGACUCCUACGGGAGGCAGCAGUAGGGAAUCUUCCGCGAUGGGCGAAAGCCUGACGGAGCAACGCCGCGUGAGUGAUGAAGGUCUUCGGAUCGUAAAACUCUGUUAUUAGGGAAGAACAUAUGUGUAAGUAACUGUGCACAUCUUGACGGUACCUAAUCAGAAAGCCACGGCUAACUACGUG